AAAGGAAUAGACGGGGACCCGCACAAGCAGCGGAGCAUGUGGUUUAAUUCGAAGCAACGCGAAGAACCUUACCAGGACUUGACAUCUCCUUGACAGGACCUUAACCGGUCCCUUCUUCGGACAAGGAAGACAGGUGGUGCAUGGUUGUCGUCAGCUCGUGUCGUGAGAUGUUGGGUUAAGUCCCGCAACGAGCGCAACCCUUGUCAUUAGUUGCCAUCAUUAAGUUGGGCACUCUAGUGAGACUGCCGGGGAUAACUCGGAGGAAGGUGGGGAUGACGUCAAAUCAUCAUGCCCCUUAUGUUCUGGGCUACACACGUGCUACAAUGGUCGGUACAAUAAGACGCAAUACCGUGAGGUGGAGCAAAUCUCAAAAACCGAUCCCAGUUCGGAUUGUAGGCUGCAACUCGCCUACAUGAAGUUGGAGUUGCUAGUAAUCGUGGAUCAGAAUGCCACGGUGAAUGCGUUCCCGGGUCUUGUACACACCGCCCGU
Molecule: ribosomal RNA, 490 nt
Filed under: uncultured bacterium
Lineage: Bacteria
Description: bacterial SSU rRNA
Rfam family: Bacterial small subunit ribosomal RNA
Source: RNAcentral